AUUGAACGCUGGCGGCAGGCCUAACACAUGCAAGUCGAGCGAGCGGCGGACGGGUGAGUAAUGUCUGGGAAACUGCCUGAUGGAGGGGGGUAACUACUGGAAACGGUAGCUAAUACCGCAUACCAUCAGAUGUGCCCAGAUGGGAUUAGCUAGUAGGUGGGGUAACGGCGCACCUAGGCGACGAUCCCUAGCUGGUCUGAGAGGAUGACCAGCCCCACUGGAACUGGGACACGGUCCAACCUCGUACGGGAGGCGGCAGUGGGGAAUAUUGCAAAAUGGGGGCAAGCCUGAUGCAGCCAGGCCGCGUGUGUGAAGAAGGCCUUCGGGUUUUAAAGCACUUUCAGCGGGGAGGCGUUACCCGCAGAAGAAGCACCGGCUAACUCCGUGCCAGCAGCCGCGGUAAUAC
RNAcentral lists this ribosomal RNA (406 nucleotides) under uncultured bacterium. RNAcentral's name for it is "partial 16S ribosomal RNA". It matches the Rfam family "Bacterial small subunit ribosomal RNA", at positions 29 to 526 of the family's 1533-position model. The record is from RNAcentral.